Molecule: long non-coding RNA, 8503 nt
Filed under: Medicago truncatula (barrel medic)
Lineage: Eukaryota; Viridiplantae; Streptophyta; Magnoliopsida; Fabales; Fabaceae
Description: long non-coding RNA (MTRU_LNC000830)
Source: RNAcentral
AUUAGGAUUUAAUACAUCUCAGUAUAAAAAUGUUUUACAUUUACAUCUAAAUACAUCGCACAAUUAUUCAAUCUUUUAUAUUUAUUUUUUAAAAUAAAGUUUAUGUGAGUUGAAUUUUAAGGGUUUGAUCAUCAUAAGAGUAAAAAAUAGAUGAUACAGAUUUUAUGAUCUUCUGCAAUGUAAAGCAUGACUUUUUGUUUGCUUUGAAUGUAAUGUAACUUUUCUAUGGAUAAGCACUCACCAACCAUCUCCAUAAUUUUCAUAUACAAUGACACUCAAAUCUUACCUAUUCACUUUUGGCCAAGACAAUGCAGAAAACCAAGCCUGUAAGGCUUGGUCCCCAAGCCAUGCAUAAUGUAACAACUACAUAGUCACCAAAGUGAACAUAGUCUAAUAAGUUUUUUCAUGUAACAAAAUGUUCAGAUGUUUUUUGUUUAAUCAUAUAUUUAUUUUUUGGUGAAAAUCAAGACAAUUUGAUUAUUGAUAUAAUGAUUUCAUAUACUGCAGAAUGGUGUCCAGUUUUAAAUACAGUUUCAUUAUUUUGAGAGUAUGUUAUUUGAACACCAAAAUGCUUCUCUUUGGUACGUUGGAAAUGCAUUGUGUUUAACUUGCAAAUAAUCCUCAAUUUAUGAAUGCAGGAAUCUGUUUAUGGAUGGGAAGAACUCAGCAACAUUAACUGCUAUCUUUUCAUUUUUUGCAGUAGCUUAUGUGAUUAGGCUCGACAGAGUAUACAUGUACAAGUACAACAAAACAAGGCAUUAAAAUUAGUUUGUACUUGAUGUUUGGUUUUACAUAACAUCUAUAGUUGUUAGACAGAAUUCAACUACUCCUCAAAUCCCUACGUCGGGGUAAUUACAAGAAUACAUGUCAUAAGCAACAAACUUUGAUACAUUACGAGUGAGUUUCAAUCAUAAUUAAAAAUUAGACGAGGUACUCAAACCAUGUCCGCAAUAUCAUUAUGUCCACUGUCAUUCCACCCAGAUCCUGCUCGAAAUUUGCAGACAGGGCAAGUCCCUUGUUGCCGCAACCAGGGAUCAAUGCAGCUAGCGUGAAACUUCAAGAUAAAAACAAAUGAACAGAAUCAGUAGCACAUUGAUAUAAAAUAAAAUUAUAAACACAGGAUCAACCAUGAGGUUUUUAUAUACUUCUUAGAAUUGGUUGACUUCUUAAUGUAACAAGAUUUACUUCACUUAAAACUGAAAUGUUGAUCUAAUGUGGAUGAAUAUAUCUACACAACUUUUUUUGGGGAAGGAAAAAAUUAGAAUAGGCCACUAGGGGAGGCACGCCCCAUGCAAGGAAAGAUAUGAAAACAAAUUUGAAGAACAUGAAUGUUUCAAACAUACUUAACUACUAAAAUCAGUAUCUAGAAUUUAAAUGGGGAGAAAAUAUUCUUUCCAUAUGAAAAAAAUAGUGAUCAGGUGCCUUUUCAAUAGAUAAACUCAAGCUCAUGAUGGAACAUCCGAAGAAAAAUACUACUCAAAACAAGGGCCGUGCUAUAAAAAAAGUCAAUCGCUACGCUUCAUAUCCAAUUUCAACUAUAGACAAAAUUUUAUAGGAUUUUAACUAACUUUUGUUCUUGGCAGCAGGAAAUGCAGAUUAAAACUUGAUACUAGAAAGCCUGCUUUACUUUCUCAUUAACUUCAAAGUGACUAUUGUUUUUAGUGUGUGUGGCACACGAGAGCAUGUGCAUACGUCCACCCUUUGUAAACCCUAUGGUAGAUGCCAACGCUCCAGAUUUCUUCUCACAUAAUCAGUCUCAGAAUGUGUGCCAAUACACACUUUGACUCCUUGUAUAUAUUAGUGACUUAGAUGAACAUUAGCAGAUAUGAUUCAGUUGAACUGGCACAAUAUAUCAUUAAACAAAUAAGAAACAAACUAAUUGUUAAAAGGUUACAACUCUAAGCAAUGAAACAGACCUGAUGCAGGAAGGGCAAGCUACGAAGUACAUCUCCAACAUUAACUUGCUCCAAGCAUACACUGCAAGUGAGCUCAUCACCAGAGGCUUUUGAGUUUCCAACCGCAUUUGAAUUAUCCUGUUUCUUCUGCCAGAAACGAAUCAUGAAAACCUGCCACUCCACAGUAAAUGAAAAGAUUGUAAUUUGACAGUAAAGAAAAUAAAUAAUGCUGUAUGCUCGUCUGAUCAUUCUGUUAUUUAACUCCCAUAUGGGAACAUCAAGUGAUGGAAAAUACUCAAGACUUAAUACAAUGAACAUAGCCACAAUGAUCUAUAUAAAUGAUAAAAUGACAUGCAAGAAUCAGCAAAGUUAUCAUGAGAUGCAAUGGAAAUCACUUGUUUAGGCCAAAUGGAGCGGAGACAUAGAAAAAAAUAAACAAUGAUGUAGGUGAUACCUCAGAAGAAGUGGAAGGCGAUGCUUGUUACAUUGAGGAACUACUACUGUAAGCCAACAUGGCUUCAUUGAAUUCUCUAAAAAAUACAUUGCAUGCAUAAGUUUAAAUAAUUUAAUUGAAUUUAGUGGAUUAAACUUAGGUAAAUUAUAUUAUGCUAUAUAAAAUAAAAGCUUCGGUAAAUUAUGUUUUAGGGUUCUAGUUAAGAGUACUUUAAACCAUAUCUAGUUGCUCGAUCAUAGAGAAAUUUUAAACUGCUAAGAAGAACAAGGUCGAAAAAAUCACGAGAUUCAUGGUACAAAAUCUAAAUGGACUAAUAAAUUGAUCAGAAUCAGAAAAUCACAAUGAACAGUCAUGAGAAUGAGAGAUUGGACAAUAUUACAAUGACUGAUAAAAGUUAACCUUAAUAAAGAAAGAAUAAAAGAAAAAGGAUCACUAGUAAGUGCACGAGAGAGAAACAAACACACCAACCAAGAGAAGCUUGAUUAGAGAAAAUCAACAGGAAAGCAUCCUUGGAGUUGUUACUAUUGUACAUAAUAACAGAUGCAUGAUUGCUGCAAAUUUCAGCUUCCACGAAUGCACCAAACACAACAAGAUUGAUUGUCAUUUGGUGCGUGAGAAACUCCUUGCACACCUCUUUCGUGCAUAUUGCAUAGGAUGUGGGACAAUAGAUAAAUUUGUUUCACAGUUAAUUUAGUUACUCUAUAAUUCUGUUAAUUAGUUGUUGUAUCUACAACUUACUUAAGUUAGUUAAUUAGUUUUCUAUUUCUUCAUUUUUAUUGUUCCUUUCAUGUAAAUCCCUAUGAUCCAUACUUACAUUAUGAAUCCAUUGUCUAUAGAUGUAGAUGAAACCAACACUAUAUAGUUCAUUUUCAAUUUUCCAUUCAACUUGGGAAUUGUUUUGAUUGAAAAUUAAGGAAUGACGACAAAUCCACAAAGGUUCCCCCACCACCUCUCUUUAGAAUCCCCCCUGCCUCAUUGUGUAUUUUUUUUCUGUCAAAGUGAGAAAAAAAAUAUGAAAUUUCCUUUGUCAACACCACCAAGGUUUGAAGACACACAACAUUCUUAAUUCCUCUCUUUGGACUUUUUCAAAGACAAGUAAAAUAAAACAUCACUUCCAGAAUCAUUAAGCAAAUAAAAAAACAAAAUACAAGAUUAAUAAAGCAUGUCAAUAAACCAUUGACCAAAAUAAAGCAUGCCAACCACACAUGCAUACAAGGUUACUAAGAAAUUUAAACAAAAUUACAUUGCAUAGAAACAAAAGACCAAGCUGUACAAUGUCUUCCACAAAAAUGUUUGAUCUGAUUACGCAACCUUUCCCCCAAGUUUCCAUUGAAAUCUAGAUUAUAACAUCCUAUAAUGUCGAGAGAUUCAAGAAGAGGGCAUCCAUCAAGAAUAGCAAGCAACCCAACUUCACUGAGAGGGUUUCCAUGAAUAUCAAGAUGGCGUAGCCCAGGCAUUGUUUUUGCAAUAAUAAAUGCCUCAUCAUCACACUUGAAGCGGCCUCUAUACGACGCCCCGUUAAAUGUUAGCGAUCUCAAAAGAGGACAACUUUGACCAAUAACUUCAAGAGAUUUCCCAGAUUGGAUGCCAUAUGAAAUGUUAAUCUCCUCUAACAGGGGAAACUUCUUUGCAACUUUGCACCAACCUUCAUUUGAAACUCUACUGCAUGAAUCAAGUCAUAUGCACCUUAAAUUACUUUCCCUGUAAAAUAUAUGAUGAAAGGACAACUUAAAAAAUAUGAUACAUUCAUAAAAUACCGGGCCCUAAAUACUUAAAAAUACUAACAUUGAUGCAUUCAUAACAUAUAUGGCACUAAGCACAUAACAUGCAAAUAUACCCAAUUCCACAUUUCACACGUGCAAAAAAUUUGUUGAAUUGUCUUGUCUGGCCAAGUUUUUUUUUUUUUUUUGAAACAACAGAGAAGAGUUCCAAUUCGAAAUAAGAGUACAAAGAAUACUCAAUACAUAUACAACACAACAGCUAUAAUUAUGAAGAAUCAAACAAAAUCAAAGGACCCCCAAUAUUUGAUUAAGAUCUAGGUUAUGGGCACUUAGGAUCAAGGUAGUUAAAAUCGUGAUUUUACGCAACACUAACGGUAAGAUUAUACAAAAUUCAUAAACCUCCAUGACUGUUGUGAACCAAAUCUAACUUAUGAGGCCAAAACAACAACAAACUCAAACACAACAAUCACAUCUCAACAAAACAGGUUCUUUGUUUACUGGGUUCUUUGAUUUUCUGAAUUAUUUCAUUCUCUCCAUUUUUAUCUCAUCUGCAAAUUAAAACCCACACCCAUAUCAAAUUUGCUUUUAAUUUUCAGCAAGUUUCAAAGUCCAAAUUGAUGCAUUUGUAAAAAAUGGAUUCUUUGUUUACCGGGUAAUCUUUGUGCUCUAUUUAUUUGAUUUGGUUGAUUCCGCAUGAAUCCAAAUUGAUGCAGGAUCUAUGGAUGCUUUAUUUCUUGCUCUAUUAGCAAUAGAAAGAUCAAUUAUAACAUUGUUUUUUAAUUGAGAAUUAGGAAAGUUGUUGUUAGAUGGGGAAGAUGACCCUUGAGGAUUGCUGUCUUGCUGUAUGAAAGCCGAAAAAGUGAAAUCAAUAGUAAAAAAAAAAAUAUGAUUGUGUGAGUUUAGAACCGGUAGCCAAAAAAAAGUUUAAAACACUUAUGACAUGGCCCAAUCUAAGAGAGGGUGGCUGAGGGAGAGUGUUGGACAGAAAACCUUAAAUCACACUUGAAAUGCUUAUGUAAAUUUAAAUUCUUAAGCAUAGCUCACUUAAAAACAUAGUUGCAUAACACUUACCUAAUUAAAAUUGGAAGUACUUAUGUAAUUGUAACUCUAACACUCACAUAACAACAACAUAACACUUGAAAUACUUGUAUGAUUCAAACGUUAAAUCAAACUAGCAAGUCUCAAACAAAACAACAACUAAAGUUGUCUUCGGUAGUUCCAGCACCGCGACCAUAAUCGUAGAAUCAUUUCAAAGAUCAGUAGAUUAUACAUGGUUCCACCAAAAUAAGAUUUUGUGUAUACUCAUAAUCACUGAGAACAAGUAUAAUCGCAAAAAUGUAAGAUUUUACGCUCAAAUCGAGAUUUUAACUACAAUGAUUACGAUGCAAUUCACAGGAUCUUCACAUCAUUCGUAGAAGAGAUAGUGGUCAUUGACCACUGGUAAAGCUAUUAACAACUAAAAGAAACCCAAACAUUCGAUUAAAAGCCAAGACCUGAAACCCAAACAUUCCAUUAAAACCUAAGACCUUAGAAUGAAAUCCAUAGGUUACACAUAAUUCAUAGAAGAGAUAGAGGCCAAGCUAUUGACAACUAGAAAACACACAUAAACGGAGGCAUUGCACAACAUUUUCAAUGACUUAGAAAAUAUAAAAAAUUGAAUAUGGCAAAAUGCAUAUCAAAAUACCAAUAACUAAAAAAUAAAUCUUAAGCAGCAAGAAAUAGAACUCCCUUUGGUCCCUAUUAUAAGAAAAAAUUAAAUGAAUAACUGAAGUAUUUGGUCGAUAAUCCAAGUACAAAUGUCAUUAAAUGAAUCUAAAAAGUGAAUUUGUUCAACCCGAGAGACUAUAAAACAAGAGGCUGCUUAUAUAUACUAGACAAAUAAAAAUUGAAACAUGGUUACCAGUUAAAAAUUGUAGCACAAGAAUAAAUAUUAAAACAUGAAAAGAAACAAACAUCGCUUCUCAUAAUCCCCUUUGCACAGAAACAAACGACCUAUUAAAUAAUGAUACUCACAAAAUAGAAGAGAGAAUAGGAAAGUAAAAUGGGUAUUACCUAUCAGCAAUGUAUUGGAGAAGAUCAUCAGUACCAAAUCCAUAGAUAUCAAUCUUUUCUAAAUGACCAGAACUUAGGUCAACAGCAUAUUGACAAAGAUUGACCAAACGGUUAAGAUAUGGAGUCCCACGAUUUGCAAAUUGGAAGUAAAGAUGAGAUCUUCCCAUGUGAAUCUUGCGCCACAUGAAAGGAUCUUUGCAAAUAUUCCACCAAUAAGGACACACAUAGCGUGCCUUUGUGAGAAUGUUUGAUGUAACAUCUCUUGGAAGUUCAAGCCAGUUAGGUUUUGCUCUUGCUGUUGUGCUCUCAAGUUUUGGUUUCUUAGUCGGACACGAAAAAGACAUCUUGUGUAUUUUGAAGUUCAAAGAGCAAUAUUCCUACCCUUGAGUUAAGCUCACGCGGAUAAUUAAUCUUUUACUUUGUCUCUCCUUAAUCUUUAUUAUAAGCAACAUUGACUAAUUUCACAAUCUAAGAAAAGUUGUUGGUAUAUUUAAUUUGACUUUCAUAUUUCAAUACAAGUCAGUAGUGUUAAUUAGAAGUAUGUGGCUCAUAAUAAUGUAUGUGGCUCAUAAUAUGAACUACAUCCAUCAUUAAAUAAAUGAACCUAAAAAGUAAAUUUUGUUUAUAUUUUAAAACUGAUGAGUAAGUACAAAAAGAACAAAAAUGUAUCUAGUAGUUUCAGCAGGGUUUAUAUCUAGAUAAUAUUUUUUUUUUUAAAGGGAUGAAUGCUAGCAACACUCACUUUUGAGCACUCUCUAACACUCACUCUUUUAUUGAAUAAAAUUAAUGUAUGUUUCACCACUUUGUGUGAGUUCAAUUUUCAAAAUGUAUUUAAACCAAUAAGAGAGUAAGUGUUAGAGAUGGUGCUCAAAAAAGAGUGUUGCUGACAUUCUUCUUUCAAAAGAGACUUAUAAUUAAGGAUGGUAAUUGUGUAUUCUCAUUGUAAAAAAUAAAAGUGAGAGUAGACUAUAAUGACUUACAAGACCUCUGACCUAGCAUUUUCGAGCCCCAUGCCAAACCAUAUCUUUUUAGAAAAUGUUCCCGCGUUGAAGAUUCUAAGAAACACCAUGAAAAUACUAAAAUAACCUCAACUGCUGAUGUGGGGUUAAAUUUGUCAUCGCAUGAUAUUUUUUAGCUUUAUUUGUAUUGUAAACAACAUUGUUCAAUUUUCAUCUUUUUAUAUUAAAAAAUGAACAGGUCAGACUAUAAGCCAUGAAAAAAUAAUUUACUACUACUUAGUUUAGUGAAUAUAAAUGAUAUGUUCAAUUACUAUUAUUAUAUUUAAUUUUAUACUUUGUUUUUAAUCCAUAGGUUUACCAACCUUUUCAGUAAUUUAAAGAUAUUGACCUGCACAAAAUUUUGACAUUUAAUUGUUCUAAUAAAAUAAAAUUUAAAUAGGAUGUUAUAUAAACAAAUUUCUAGACCUAUGCUUAUCUUAAAAAUUGACCUAUGACAAUUAAUAAAUCAAACUCACGUCAAACAUUUGAAAAACAGAUCAGGCGCAGACAUUACAAAACCUAACCCAGCUUUUUCACACUUCUAAUAUAAAUAUGCUCUUCUGCAAUGUAAACCACAUAAAUUAGAUGAUAGAUUUUAUGCUCUUCCGCAAUGCAAACCAUGAUCUUUUGUUUGCUUUGGAUGCAAUGUAACUUUUCUAUUGAGCAAUAUGAUGUCUUGUGAAGAAAAAUAGGGAGCUGAAAAACAGAGUUGCUGCUGCUACCAAAGAGAAGGGAGAAGAAGCAAUUGUUAUGGCACAUGUGCAGGCAAAAUUAGAAGCCAAGAAGGGUCAAGGGAAAAGGUAAAACUAAAGCAAACUUAGGACUCACUAACAGAGUAUAAAUGUACAACAGUACAAGGCCUUAAAAUUAAGUUUGUACUUGCUGUUUGGUUUUACAUAGCGAACCAACAAACUUGGUAAUCUAUAGGAAACAAAAUGUAUAACAUCUAUAGUUGUUUUUUUUUUUUUUUUGAGAGGAACAUCUAUAGUUGUUAGACGGUAUUCUUCUAUUUCUCAAAUCCCUACGUCAGGGUAAUUACAAGAAAACAAGUCAUAAGCUACAAACUUUGAUACAUGACGAGUGAGUUUCAGUCAUAAUAGAUUAUUAUGAUCACAAAAUCAUAAUUAAAAAUUAGACGAGGUACUCAAACCAUGUCCGCAAUAUCAUUAUGUCCACUGUCAUUCCACCCAGAUCCUGCUCGAAAUUUGCAGACAGGGCAAGUCCCCUGUUGCCGCAGCCAGGGAUCAAUGCAACUAGCGUGAAACUACAAGAUAAAAACAAAUAAACAGCAUCAGUAGCACAUUGAGAUAAAUUAUCGACAAAGUAUCAACCAUGAGGUUUUUUUAUACUUAGAAUUGCUUGACUGCUUAAUGCAACAGUCAA